AUGGGAAUACCUUCCUUCUUCAGCUGGCUCGUGGGCAAGUACCCAAAAAUCGUCGGCACCAUCAUCGACGUCUACUCUGCCUCGUCAUCGGAGGACGAGGAGGAGGAGAAAGAAGAAAAGGAGGAAGAAGAGGGGGAAGAAGAAGAGGUUGAAGAAGAUGACGAUGAAGAGGAUGAAGAUGAAGAAGAGAUCAUCUACGACAACCUCUACCUCGACAUGAAUGAAAUCAUCCACAAAUGCUUCCGCCUCAACAACGGGCUGGUGUACAAUUGGUUUUUCGCUUACUUGGAUCGCUUGUUUCGCAUGGUCAGGCCAAGGAGGCUCCUUUACUUGGCAGUAGAUGGUGUCGCCCCUAUGUCCAAGAUGACCAAGCUGCGACAGAGGUACUUCAAAACUGCCAAGUAUCGCGCAGACUCGGAGGCUGAAGCGAUCCUCUUGACGGAGAUAUUCAGAGCUCAGGGGAAAGAGGUGAUGCCCCGAGAUACGUACGAGCUUCAGAAUCCUGUUGUCAAGGUGCCAGGGACGGAAUUCAUGGAGAAGAUAUCAGCAGCGCUGGAGUACUUCAUCCACGAACGGUUGAAUACCGACCCUGAAUGGAAAGACAUCAAGGUAAUACUUUCUGAUGCAAAUGUUCCUGGAGAAGGGGAGCACAAGAUCAUGUCUUUCAUUCGCGCGCAACGAAGCAUGGAAAACUAUGAUCCGAACACCCGCCAUUGUCUGCAUGGGCAUGAUGCAGAUCUGAUCAUGCUCGCGUUGGCAUCUCACGAAGUCCACAUUUCAAUUUUGCGGGAGUUCGAUAAUCCAAAUGGAAGGAUACCCGCAAGAUUUUAUCAGUUUGUGGACAUAUGGGUUCUGAGAGAGUACUUGGAGCUUGAAAUGAAGACACCAGGUUGCAAACAAGAUACCGAGAGACUAAUAGAUGACUUUAUCUUUAUUUGUUUCUUGACAGGAAACGAUUUCAUUCCACGGAUUCCUUCACUAGAGAUAAAUGAAUUUGCAGUUGAUCUUCUCAUUGAAGUGUACAAAACAACCUUCAACAAAAUGGGGGGCUAUAUGGUCAACACAGACAAAAUUAAAGAUAAAUACGGUGUGUAUCUGGAAGUCACAAGGUUAGAGAAGUUCUUUCAUGAACUGUCCUUGUGCGAAGAGAAAAUUUUACUCAAAAGAUAUGAACUGCAAGAGAAGUUACUGCACAAGAUACAGGGUGAAGCUGCAGUAAACGAAUGGGCCAAGGGAGAGGACAGGGGAGAGAAGAAAACAUCAUUUGCUCAGCAUUUUUUUUAUCCUGUAGAGACUUCCCUUGAAAGAGACUCUGACGAUGUGGUCAGAGAGAAUACCAGGGAGCUAUGGAGAACUGUGAGCGAUAUUUUCUGUAAUAAGGACGACCUUUUUAAAAAUGGAGCCUGCAAACAAGACAAGAUAAGACCAGGAUGGAAAUCCCGGUUCUACAGAGAGAAGCUUGGUGCCGAAACUUCUAAAGAAGUUGGAAGGCUGCAGACAGAAAUGGUUCAGAAGUAUUUAGAAGGAUUAUGCUGGAUGCUUCAAUGCUAUUUUUCUGAAGUUCCUUCAUGGACUUGGUGCUACCCAUUCUAUUAUGCUCCUUUUGCAUCGGAUUUCAAAUGUCUGUCUCAAUUCAACAUAUCUUUCACCAUGGAUAAACCACUAAGACCAUUUGAUCAGCUCAUGGCAGUUUUGCCACCACAAAAGAAUGUUUUGUCAUGUGCCCUUCCAAAAUGUUACAGCAAAUUAAUGGGCUGUGAAGAAUCUAAAAUACAAAUGUCCUAUCCAACAGAGUUCGAGAUUGAUCCAGAUGGCAAACGUUUCUUGUCACAAGGUAUUGCAAAGUUACCAUUCAUAGACAAGGAACUGCUGCUUUCAGCUACCAAAAUGGUAGAGAAAGAUCUAACGGAGGAUGAGAUGGCACGGAAUAAUGCUCGGCAGGAGAGGAUCUUCCUGAGGAACUCGCAGAGUCUGGCAAAUACUGCAGCAUUUGCGGCAACAAUUUUAGACAAUGCACAGAAAAAGCUUUGGAUAGACGCUAGUGAAAUCGGGGGAUGGUUCUCACCAGAUGAGAAGGAGGUUCAAAGCUCUGCGUUAAGAAAAAAUAAGGUUCAACACGCGUGA
RNAcentral lists this ribosomal RNA (2124 nucleotides) under Triticum aestivum (bread wheat). RNAcentral describes it as "partial small subunit ribosomal RNA". Lineage: Eukaryota; Viridiplantae; Streptophyta; Magnoliopsida; Poales; Poaceae. The record is from RNAcentral.